GACGCGUGGGUCUUGAUGGCUGCACCCUCGGUUUUGUUUAUCCUUGGGGUGGGUCAAAUUUACGGGAUUACCUGACUGCCGUGUGCAGUUCGGGGCUGGGCUCAAUGUGGGCGGGGUCAAACGUCGGGGCUGGGCUCAAUGUGGGUGGAGUCAAACACGUUAAACGCGAACCCUUCCCGUCCCCUUCAAGAUCACCCAAGUUGAGGUAAACGUCGAAGUUGUCAACGUCAACGAAUGCGAAUCUUAAUCGAACCUAACCUAAUGGAUAAAAAUACCGACCAUGGAAGAUCCCCUUCCGACUGUGAUUUUCUUUAUCAAAGGAAAACAUGCAGCAAAUAAGGCAAUGGUGGUGCCUAUUUCACCUCUCCUGUAGAACGUUCCCAUGCCGAUGAUGUAGAAGAUUCCCCCCACCCCCCCCAAGAAGUCACAGCAUGUCACAUCAGCAUCCAGCUCUGCAGGAUCAGGUACUGUAUAGGCUAUUAGAUAAAGUAAGAGGCAUUCUUGACACACAUCCCUAGAUUUUCCGUUACAUUAUUUAAUGACCACAAUCUGUUUUCUCAGUAGACUAUACUGAAAACAAAAUGCACGGCGAACUGUGAGCUGGGUAUGUAGUCUACUGUGUGUAAUGCUGAAGGCUUGAUGUAUGGAAAGAUAUAAUAGCUGUGAUGACUUGUUGAGUAGUUAUAGAUAUCACUGAAAACCCCUUUAGUAAUAGUGGCUUUUGUUUGCAUGGUGGUAUUGUGAAAGUGGGGUGUAAUUGUUCUUGAUCACCCAAUGAGGCACUACUCCUAAUAUUAAUUAUUCCUUUUUCUUAGAGGAAGCAGAUCUUCUAAGGGACACCCUAGAGGCACGCCAAAACAUUUAAAGGAACCGUUCCCCUCCCUACUGUAAUUGGGAUAGGCGGGGAAGACCGCAUCACAACCCCUAAAGAACUACAGUCACCUGAGUCGCUGAUCUCUUUACUGGAGCUGGUAUAACUUAAUGUACAAAGCCCAUUCAGCUUGUCAGUAUGUUUAUAUGAUAUAGUCUGUCUCCAUUCUCAUGAGGAAAAUAAAUGGCAUAACUCAGGAUAGGUAGUAACUGUAU
Molecule: long non-coding RNA, 1086 nt
Filed under: Oncorhynchus mykiss (rainbow trout)
Lineage: Eukaryota; Metazoa; Chordata; Actinopteri; Salmoniformes; Salmonidae
Description: lncRNA (ENSOMYG00000010960.2)
Source: RNAcentral